AAUUUAAAAUUGAAAAUGAAAUUAAACACGCCAGCUUCGCUAUUAAGCUCAAACAGGUUUAGGUGAUAAUCCACCGUGGGCCACCGCGCCAGAAAUCGCCUCCAACGGCGGUGGCCACCAAAAACAAAAAUUGAAGCCAUUGUCUUGUUCAUCUCAUCAAGCUCUUUCCAUUUCCUAAAAUUCUAACUCUAAACCUCCAACCGAACCGAUUUUAAUCAAGAACCCUAACCAACUAAAUCCUAAAUUAAAUCCUUAAACGGAGGAAUCAAAGCCUAUAGUCUCAGGGCUUUGAUUCUUUAUCUCAAAACCUAUACAGUGGUAACAAAUAUGAAGGCAAAGCAUAGGGAAAAUUGAACCUACCGUAGUGCUUGCAACAGAGAUGACGAAUGAAGAUUAAAGAUGCUCAAGUAUGAAAUCUUUGCUCUGAAUCUCCUUUUCUUUUUCUUUUUCGUUCUUCUGCCUCUGUUGAAUUAUGGAAUUUUGAUGCGUGAGGUGAUAUAGAUGUGAGGAUUGAAAGUGAGGGACAAGAGUGUUGAGGUGUUGAUGAAUGUUCAGUGAUGAAGGAGAAUGAUGAUGAUUGAAAGAGCUCGACUGAGGUUGAAGAAUGAUUGAGAUUGGGAAAAUCAAGACUUCAGGUGAAUGUGAAAAAACUGAUUGGAAAUUGGAAACAAAAUUGGGUCCUGUUAGAGAGUGAUAUUCAUUGCU
RNAcentral lists this long non-coding RNA (705 nucleotides) under Lathyrus oleraceus (garden pea). RNAcentral describes it as "Pisum sativum (pea) long non-coding RNA (PSAT_LNC011933)". Lineage: Eukaryota; Viridiplantae; Streptophyta; Magnoliopsida; Fabales; Fabaceae. The record is from RNAcentral.